UGUGACUUCUGCUACUUCUGCGAUUUCUGCUACUUCUGCUACUUCUGCGAUUUCUGUGAUUCCUGCGAUUUCUGCGACUUACCACCGUAUGAGAAAGUUACAUCUGUUAACACAGAAAAUUGCAUCUCAACAAACCUGUCUUUGGCAAGUACCUGAACUACAUUUCAGUCACUCAGUAAAGUGAUAACUCAAAAUAUCAUUGUCAACAGAUCUGAAGAAAUUGCCACUGCGUCUUUAGACCGUUUUCGUCAGACGAGAGACACAGUUCUGACUCUGAUUACUGGUUGCUGUACGUAUCUAUCCACAUCAAGGCUGUUUUUGAGAGAGACUCGUGAAGAUUCAAGACAGUUCUUAGAGGAUUUGCAGUUUAAAAGUGAAAUAAUUGUGAAAUAAGUGUGUGAAUGAUUAAACUGUGUUUUAUUGAAGUUGUUGUGCGAUUUUAAAGGAAUAAUAAAUGUCAA
Molecule: long non-coding RNA, 461 nt
Organism: Schistocerca cancellata (South American locust)
Lineage: Eukaryota; Metazoa; Arthropoda; Insecta; Orthoptera; Acrididae
Exons: 3
Source: RefSeq, a predicted model, not a curated record